This is a long non-coding RNA of Gallus gallus (chicken), 974 nucleotides long. The record is from Ensembl. NCBI's taxonomy places the organism in Eukaryota, Metazoa, Chordata, Aves, Galliformes, Phasianidae.
AAACAAAACAAGAACAGUAGCCAUGUGAAACAACAAACAAAAUGACUAAGGCAUCUCGGCGCCUCGGCAAGCUCUUUUCUCACGGAGCCACGGCAUAAAGAAGUGAAUGAAGUACAGUAGCUUAACAUGCACCGCAUGAGUAUGUGCGGAGCCACUUCUGCUGAUUUACUAACUCGUUUUGUUUGAGGGGCACUUGAAAGGCCUUGACAUUUACAGCUCUGUAGGCAAACGUGAAAGGAAAGAAUGGAUUCUGUACCUCCAACCUCCCAGCUGCUGGUGAAUGUCUGCUGAACAGAGCCCCGUGAGAUCAGGAGGCGCUGAGCCCCGCGGCUUCCCAGAGGCCAGAGUACAAGGGAGGGCGAUGGGAGGCUGAGUGUUUGGAUGUAACACACAGACAGGAAGCACUGCUGGUUCUGUGGUUUAGACAUGGCUGUUCUGAAAUAUGCUCAGGGUGUGCACUGGAAGACAGAGCUCCUCUCUGCCAAACUGAUUUGGAGCACUAAUCUGAAAUGUCUGAGAGUUCCAGAGAUCAACAGCAAUAUCCAUUCUUCCAGUUUCACACUGUCUGCUCCAUUACCUCAGGUACUCAGCGGGGAGAAGCCAUUCAGCAUACUUGAAGUUGUUCCUGCUUGCAUUUUCUCCCCCACUUCUUCCUUUGUAGGCUUUUCUUUGUUGUUGUUGUUUGUUUUUUAAUGGCAAGAAAGAAGAUAAAUAGCAAAGACUGCUGCAGGGGAAACACUGGGGAUACAACCACCUAAUUAUGAAUUUCCUGAGCGUGCAACAUGACCAGGAGCAACUGGACAGGAUUAGCAUUGUAUGUUUCAUCUCCAGCUGUUUCAUGAAUAUCAAUCUACAAAAUCUUCCAAGAGGAACAUUUUUUCUGUGGCCCUGCUUCUGGCCUUAACAAUGCAAGCAACACUGCUUUGUUUUCUUUAGACACCAAACUGAAACAAGAGCUUUCAACAAACCAGCCC